Molecule: long non-coding RNA, 208 nt
Organism: Pyrus x bretschneideri (Chinese white pear)
Lineage: Eukaryota; Viridiplantae; Streptophyta; Magnoliopsida; Rosales; Rosaceae
Exons: 2
Source: RefSeq, a predicted model, not a curated record
UUUGGCAAUGCAAAUCAAAUCAAGUAAGGAGCUAGUUUAAUUAUUUUAUUAAAAAUAGAAUCAGGAAUUGAUUUCAUUCAAUUAUUUGAUAAAAAAUCCAGCGAGAGUCCUCUCCGUAUGUGAGAGCAACAACAAAGUUCGGUUUUCUCGUUUAGCCGCAGGCCCUAAUUUCGAUUCCUUUUUCCUCUUUAGUUUUUGAUAAUUAUUU